This 253-nucleotide ribosomal RNA is filed under the name uncultured bacterium. RNAcentral describes it as "partial 16S ribosomal RNA". It matches the Rfam family "Bacterial small subunit ribosomal RNA", at positions 524 to 776 of the family's 1533-position model. The record is from RNAcentral.
UACGUAGGGUGCGAGCGUUGUCCGGAAUUAUUGGGCGUAAAGAGCUCGUAGGCGGUUUGUUGCGUCGGCCGUGAAAACUAGAGGCUUAACUUUUAGCUUGCGGUCGAUACGGGCAGACUUGAGUUCGGUAGGGGAGACUGGAAUUCCUGGUGUAGCGGUGAAAUGCGCAGAUAUCAGGAGGAACACCGGUGGCGAAGGCGGGUCUCUGGGCCGAUACUGACGCUGAGGAGCGAAAGCGUGGGGAGCGAACAGG